CCCACAAAGUGGGGUCUCAUAGCCCUUAAGGUUUUAUGAAUCUAUUUCAACGCUCAAAUUUAAUGAACGAAUGAGAUGAAUUCACACAGCUGCAGCAGACGAAGUAGUUUCACACUUACAGAAUAAACCAAACUAUGACAACUAAUUGAAAUAAACGAAAUUUGGAUUCAAAUGAGGAGUUGACACCAUAAUAACAGUUAAACCAUAUAAGCGAAAAACAACCACUCGAAAUUGACUUCUACUAGCUGAAAAUAAUCAAAUAUAUCACACCAUCGCGAACAGAUUUAGUCGGCAAGAAGUUCGAUCAUAACACAAACAAAACACCCUAGAUUGAAUCACAUAGUUCAAAAUACUGAAACGAAACAUAAUCGCAAGAACAGAGAGAUGAAGACUGAACCUGAAAUUUCGAACUUCUUUUGAUAACAGAAUCGAAGGCAAUUACACAGUUUCGACUCCAAAACUAACACAAGGUCAAAAUGGCAAAUCAAAGCUCGAAGAACAGCAAAUCAGUAGCAGCCGAGCAGAAACAAGAGGUUCGAGCAGCGACGAACUCAGUAAUUCUCAAACGAACUCCAUAUUUCAAAUGAACUCCAGCCCCGAAAGAAGGAACGACAUAUAUUUUUUGAUGUAAUUAAAAUCUAAAAACAGAUUUAAAGAGUCAUGAACAUUUUUAUAUCUCUUUUCUAAUUCUAGAUUUAAACUCAAAUUUCCAUCGAGAAGAAGAACCCCGACUGUUGUUUUCACCCUUAGUUUUUAUGCUCAAAAGUUGUUUUCUCCCCGUCCAAAAAAAAACCCCCUCCUAUACAAAAGAAAGACCUCACCUUAUACCCAAACCUAGAAGCUUCUCAAAAUCCGCAAAUAUUCCCCUCUAGAAUGAAUUCGGACAGAUGGAGAGAGGGGAUCGAUUCAAAAUCAAUCCACGGUCCCUAUUUUUCUCAAUUCAUUCUCAAAGGCAGAUGGGAGACGAAAACUUGUCAGAGACCGUUAGAAUAUUCGGUGACGUGGAGAGAUGGAGAGUGCGUGUGGUGAAUUCAAGCUCACUCGCCUGAAAUUUGGCGAGUUUGGACGCAGCCCUGAAGGGGAGAAGAGAGUGAAUAGUAACGAGCGAGGGAUUAGGGGUUU
RNAcentral lists this long non-coding RNA (1122 nucleotides) under Nicotiana benthamiana. RNAcentral describes it as "long non-coding RNA (NBEN_LNC017303)". The record is from RNAcentral. Lineage: Eukaryota; Viridiplantae; Streptophyta; Magnoliopsida; Solanales; Solanaceae.